Molecule: ribosomal RNA, 196 nt
Filed under: Clostridioides difficile
Lineage: Bacteria; Bacillati; Bacillota; Clostridia; Peptostreptococcales; Peptostreptococcaceae
Description: partial 16S ribosomal RNA
Rfam family: Bacterial small subunit ribosomal RNA
Source: RNAcentral
AGGAUGGACCCGAGGAGGAUUAGUUAGUUGGUAAGGUAACGGCUUACCAAGGCGACGAGCAGUAGCCGACCUGAGAGGGUGAUCGGCCACAGUGGAACUGAGACACGGUCCAAACGCCUACGGGAGGCAGCAGUGGGGAAUAUUGCACAAUGGGCGAAAGCCUGAUGCAGCAACGCCGCGUGAGUGAUGAAGGCCU